This 253-nucleotide ribosomal RNA is filed under the name uncultured bacterium. Its description in RNAcentral is "partial 16S ribosomal RNA". It matches the Rfam family "Bacterial small subunit ribosomal RNA", at positions 524 to 776 of the family's 1533-position model. The record is from RNAcentral.
UACGUAGGGGGCAAGCGUUGUUCGGAAUUACUGGGCGUAAAGCGCGUGUAGGCGGUUUCCCAAGUCGGGUGUGAAAGCCUUGAGCUCAACUCAAGAAAUGCACUCGGUACUGGGUGACUAGAGGACCGGAGAGGAUAGUGGAAUUCCCAGUGUAGUGGUGAAAUACGUAGAGAUUGGGAAGAACACCAGUGGCGAAGGCGGCUAUCUGGACGGUUUCUGACGCUAAGACGCGAAAGCGUGGGGAGCAAACGGG